Molecule: ribosomal RNA, 514 nt
Filed under: Neolocoptiris villiersi
Lineage: Eukaryota; Metazoa; Arthropoda; Insecta; Hemiptera; Reduviidae
Description: partial large subunit ribosomal RNA
Rfam family: Bacterial large subunit ribosomal RNA
Source: RNAcentral
GUCCUUUUGUUAUUUAAUAUAAGGUCUAACCUGCCCAAUGAUUAUAAUUGAAUGGCCGCGGUAUUUUAACCGUGCAAAGGUAGCAUAAUCAUUUGUCUUUUAAUUAAAGGCUAGAAUGAAUGGUUGGAUAAAGGAUUUUCUUUCUUUUUUGUAAAAAUUGAAUUUAAUUUCUUAGUUAAAAAGCUAAGAUUUUUUUAUAGGACGAGAAGACCCUAUAGAACUUUACUUUUUUAUUUCUUUUUAUGAUGUUUAAAAUUAAUAAAGAAAGGGGUAAAUUAGUUUCGUUGGGGUGAUGUAGGAAUUUAAAUAACUUCCUAUUUUUUAUUUUCAUUUAUUUGUGUUUAUAAUGAUCCAAAAAUUUUGAUUAAAAGUUUAAGUUACCUUAGGGAUAACAGCGUAAUUUCUUCGGAGAGUUCAUAUCGAUGGGGAAGUUUGCGACCUCGAUGUUGGAUUAAAAUAAGUAGUAGAAGCAGUAUUUUAUUUACUAGGUCUGUUCGACCUUUAAUUUUUUACA